UUGAUCCAGGCACUGAUGGAAUGUCUAACCUUGAAGCACCUACCUCUGCCAUAGACACUCUCGAAAAGAAGUGGGGCAUAUCAACUAUUUUUAAAGUUAAUCCGAAUGAUUUGCAUGAAGCCGAGCUAGCUGAACCUAAGAUUGCUACACCAUUGAAUGUUACUGUCCAACCUCUACUGAUGGAGGAGAAAUCAUUGCUAAAUCAUGAGGAAUUAAAAGUUGUGACAUGUG
RNAcentral lists this long non-coding RNA (231 nucleotides) under Phaseolus vulgaris (common bean). Its description in RNAcentral is "long non-coding RNA (PVUL_LNC000748)". The record is from RNAcentral. Lineage: Eukaryota; Viridiplantae; Streptophyta; Magnoliopsida; Fabales; Fabaceae.